GUCCUACGGGGGGCAGCAGUGAGGAAUAUUGGUCAAUGGGCGCGAGCCUGAAUCAGCCAAGUCGCGUGAGGGAGGACGGCCCUACGGGUUGUAAACCUCUUUUGCCGGGGAGCAACGGGCGUCACGUGUGGCGCCACUGAGAGUACCCGGAGAAAAAGCAUCGGCUAACUCCGUGCCAGCAGCCGUGGUAAUACGGAGGAUCCAAGCGUUAUCCGGAUUUAUUGGGUUUAAAGGGUGCGUAGGCGGAUUGAUAAGUUAGAGGUGAAAUGUCCGAGCUUAACUCGGGAACUGCCUCUAAUACUGUU
Molecule: ribosomal RNA, 305 nt
Filed under: uncultured bacterium
Lineage: Bacteria
Description: bacterial SSU rRNA
Rfam family: Bacterial small subunit ribosomal RNA
Source: RNAcentral